UGUUAAGUGGAUAAACAAAAACUCCUGGCUUUCUUUUCCCUGCUUUUCUUUAUUCCUACUAAACUUUAUUGCCCCAUUAAGAUAAUUAAAGGUGAAACCAAAAGAACAGCUUUAAGAACUGCUCUUGUGAUUGGGACUGCUUCCAGCGGCCAUGCUGAGUCCUCUCAUCUGCCUGCUGGUCCAGCUCAUCUGAGGCACUGUGACAUUGUCCCAGCCUAGUCCUAGUUCAGAGAAACUGAAGGAAGCUGAUUUCCACAGAUCAGGUGAGUGGGUUAAUUGUGGCGGUCCCCUCCAUUUUCUCCUUUGGACAGCCAGACCACGUCCUAAAUCAAC
Molecule: long non-coding RNA, 333 nt
Filed under: Ovis aries (sheep)
Lineage: Eukaryota; Metazoa; Chordata; Mammalia; Artiodactyla; Bovidae
Description: lncRNA (ENSOARG00000025461.1)
Source: RNAcentral